ACACCUCAUAGACCCCUCGAAGGCUGUCAAGUACAAAUAUAACAACCAUCCCCAUGGGAAGCAUCAGAAUCAGAGGUUCCUGCAACUUAUUCUUUUUGUUUUUCAAAUGCCCCUGGGCAAUCAUUAUCCUACCUGACCGUUUGAUCUCUUUUGUUUUCGGUUCAGGCAUUUCUCGUAUUGCUUUUUCUUCUUUUUUUCUUUUCUUUUUUCC
Molecule: long non-coding RNA, 211 nt
Filed under: Lathyrus oleraceus (garden pea)
Lineage: Eukaryota; Viridiplantae; Streptophyta; Magnoliopsida; Fabales; Fabaceae
Description: Pisum sativum (pea) long non-coding RNA (PSAT_LNC026005)
Source: RNAcentral